This is a long non-coding RNA of Peromyscus maniculatus bairdii (prairie deer mouse), 1303 nucleotides long. RefSeq lists it as uncharacterized. Lineage: Eukaryota; Metazoa; Chordata; Mammalia; Rodentia; Cricetidae. The record is from RefSeq and is a predicted model, not a curated record.
GGGAGGUGUUGAAGGGUGGGGGAGGGAGAGGUCAUCUCUCCCCUCGCCCACUCCACCAUGUGGCAGAUGAGGAGUGAGGCCAGAUCUCCCAGGCAGGUUCGAGGCUCCUGAUCACCUGUGCCCUUCUCAAUGGGGACAGCUCUACUAUGCUGCCUGGGCGAGGUGCAGGGCUUACUCUCCAGAGUGCUGCAUCUGGUGAGGGGUAGGAUCAGCUCUCCCCUACCUGCAGUAGGUGAGGUGGUGAGGUGGAGAGGUGAGGACCAAGCUAACUAAGGAAUGCACACCUAUUUAAAGUUCCAGUGAGGAACGUUGGGUUCCGUUGGUACUGGAAGGAUACGCUUUGGUGCCACUCACCUCCCUGCUUCUCGGAGAGGACCUCAGAGCCCAGAGACCUAAACCUGCCUUACUGGUUUGGCCCUCUAAGAAAAGCUUGCUUUCCUCUAGGCCCCUCACCUUCUGAAACGGCAACUUACAGUGCUCUUACUUCUGUCCUGCUAAUCCAAGGAAAACAAAAACAUCAACUUGGCGCAGUGAGAUGGUAUAGCACGUAAAGGUGCAUGCAACAGAUUCCCGAUGGAUCGGAACUCUCGACGUCAUCUACUUGGUAAAAGAAAAUAGAGGUUCAACUUCAACCCAUCUUUGUGAGCAGAGAGGGUUGCAUGUCUGUGAGACAAGCCUUACUGUCCAGAGGAAUCUAACAAAGGCCUGGACAUCCUACAAGUUUGGUUUUAAAGACAAGAUGGGUAUAUAACAAGUUCCAUGAAACCUCCAAGAUUUCUAAACACAGGAGCUCCAAACUGAGGAAAUGUAUGUCUAAAACUGGGGCCAGUGUGGGCCUGAGGUGGACUGUGGAGCUGGGCAGCGACCACGUGUAUCAUUCACAUCCUUUCUGAAGACUAUCAGUCCUUGUUGUCAGGAUGACUGGCAGGACCUGACAGUUGGCCUGGCUGACUGUCACCUGUCACCUGUGACCAACCCAAAGGAGGACCUUGGAAUCAAACUCCCAGAGGGGAACUGAGAACCACGACAGUGCCUUGAGCUGUGUCUGAAAGCAGCACACAUUUCACACAGAGGAGCUGGGGGCAGGGAGGGUUCGGAAUUCUGCUGACGCUGCGCAUGUGCGCUCUAAACGUUCACAGCGUUCUAGUCGCGGGGAGCGCAGUAAACACGACGUGUGCAUGAGAGACAAGAUACAGUCCCUCAUUUAUGAAGAGACAUGCAGCAGAAUGAAAACCAGUGGGUCCACAAGCUUCCAAGGCCACUAGCUUCCAAGAAUCAAUAAACUGGUGUUACGGGAACAAAA